AUGGGGAUGAAGCCUGGGGGCCCCACGUGGGACCACCUGCCGACCCUGCCUCUCCCCCAGCGCUCAGAACAGUGCUCAGCACCUAGCAAGAGCUUAACAGACACCAACAUUAUUCUUAUUCAUUUCUCUGGGCCUCAGUUCCCUCGUCUGCAAAAUGGGGAUGAAGCCUGGGGGCCCCACGUGGGACCACCUGCCGACCCUGCCUCUCCCCCGGCGCUCAGAACAGCGCUCAGCACCUAUGAAGCGCUUAACAGACGCCGAGAUUAUGAUUAUUCCAUUAUCAACGGGUCCCUGUCGCCCGGUUCCCCUGGUUUCCAAAAUGGCGGCGACAGGUCCUUCCCUCCCCCUCAGGUGGGGCCGGGCGCCGCGCGGCAUUGUGGGGGUUGGAGUCCGCCCCGCGCGGCAUUGUGGGAGUCGAGGUCCGCCACUCCCGCGCGGCAUUGUGGGAGUUGUGGUCCGCCGCCCCCCGCGCGGCAUUGUGGGAGUUGUAGUUCCUCCGCCCCGCCCCGCCGGCCGGGGCUGCCUGUGCGAGCGCAGCGCAUCGCGCAGCGGAGCGGAGGAGCCAGCCCCGGCCGGGGGGAGGAGGGAGGGCACCGCCUCCCCUUCCUCCUCCUCCUCCUCCGAAGGGGGCUGCAGACGCCGGCACCGCCGUCCCGCCCGCCCGGCGAGCCCGGAGCCUCGGCCUUCCCCUCCGCUCCUCUCUCUCACUCGACGCGCAUCGUCCGUCUGUCGCCGGACCCCGCCCGUCCGACCUUCGCGGCCUCGCCGAACCCCGCCCUCCUCCCUCUCCCGUCCGGCCCGGACCGCCCCGCCGGGCUCCUCGCCGACCUCCCGGGCCCGGGCCCCGCCUCGCCCGGAUCGCCCUUCGGAAGCGCCGUCCCGCCCGUUCUCCCGCCCCUCCGGCGGCGCGUCCGUCCGUCCGUCCCGUCGUAAGUAGCGACCGCCUGCCGCGUGCGCGGCGCCGCGCUGAGCGCUUGGGAGGGUGCGACCGUGAACGGACCCAGUCCCUGCCCGCAACGAGCUUAGGGCCUAGAGGACCCACCUCCGCGGCCGACGCGGGGUCCUCAACCCGUCGGCUUUAAAGCACCCGUCCCCUACCGGGCGCCCGUCUCCCCUCUCUCGCCGCCGCCCCGUUUCCCGCGUCCUCCCUCUGACCCGGAAUUCCCCCCCGCUCCGGAGACGCGGGGCCGGCGCUCUCUCCCGGCUUGGAGACCUCGGGAAGCCAGAGGCGGCUGUGCCGCUUUGGCUGGGCUGGGGGGUCUACUUUUCGGAUGUUUUCUCCUGGUAUCCGGGGAGCGCUUACUACGUGUUCCGAGCCGGUGUCGCGCUGUCCCGAGGAGCUCGGUACGGUGCUUCGCGCACGGCGAGCGCUCGAGAAAUAGGACCGAACGAACGAAUCGCUGUCCCGCACGGGGCUCGGAGUCGGAGGGAGAGCAGGGAUUGGAUCCCCGUUUCGGUAACGACGGCACUAACGCGGCCGCCGUCCGUUAAGCGCUCACUACGUGUCGGGCACCGGACUGAGCAUCGGGGCGGAUCCGAGCGAAUCGAAUCGGCUCCCGUCGCCUGUUCCAGGUGGGGCUCUCGGUCUCGAUCCCCACGGGGGAGCUGAGCGUGACGCGACUGGCCCAGGGUCACGCGGCAGACGGGUGGCGGGGCCGGGACUGGAACCCAGCCCGGGGCUCUCCCCACUAGACCGCCCUGCUUCUCCAGGGCCUGGGAGUCGGGAGGUCACGGGUUCGAAUCCCCGCUUCGCCACCUGCCCGCCGGGCGGCCUUGGGCAACUCGCCUCGCUUCUCUGGGCCUCGGUUCCCUCUCCGUCUGACGGAGACGGUGAAGCCCCGCGGGGGACGGGGACCGCGUCCAAUCCCAUUUGCUCUGUAUCCACCCCGGCGCUCGGCGCAGUCCCCGGCGCGUAGGGAGCGCUUAACAAAUCGAGGCUCGGCGGAGGGAGGGAGCCCGGGCUUGGGAGUCGAAUCCCGGCUCCGCCACCUGUCAGCUGGGUGACUCCGGGCGAGUCACUCGACUUCUCGGGGCCUCGGCUCCCUCACCUGCCAAAGGGGGAUGAAGGCCGCGGGCCCCAGACGGGACAACCUGAUCACCCUUUAUCUGUCCCAGCGCUUAGAACGGCGCUCGGCACACAGUAAGCGCUUAACCGACACCGACGUCAUCAUCGCUGUCGGAUACCAUCAUCACGAUGAUUAUUUCUUUACUCUAACGUCCGUCUCCCCGAUCAGACCGGGCGCUCCUUGUGGCCGACUCUGUCGGAGCGGACUCUCGCAGGCGCCGCGGUCAGGGCCCCGCACACGGGAAGCGCUCGGUAAGUACCUCGGGUCGACCCGCGGCGAGUCGAUCGUCCUCGGUCUAGCGGAAACGCGACACCCCAGACGGAUACCGUCGUCAGACGCGGUCCCGGGACGAGAGGAGCGGCGGGUGGAGCCGGGCCUGGGAGUCGGGAGGUCCCGGGUGACCCCGGGAGAGUCGCUUCCCUUCUCUGGGCCUCAGCGAUCCCUCGUCCGGAAGACGGGGAUGGAGGCCGCGAGCCCCACCCGGGCCGGGGACCGCGCCCGACCCCAUCCGCCCGUAUCGACCCCGGCGGGUCCGUACGGUGCCCGGCGCGCAGUAAGCGCUCAACGGAUACCGUGACUGUGGAGGCUGGGGGGCCCCACGUGGGAGGGGGACCGGGUCCCGCCCCAUCGCGGUGGGCUCGGAACGACGCUCGACACGCAGUAAGCUCUCGACAGACGGCACCGAGCAUCCCGGUCGUUUACGCCGCGGGGAGGGGGGGAGGGCGGGGGGUUGAAGAUCUGGACCGAAGCGCUCCCGGGGGUCGGGGGGCGAGGACCCCCGCCCGGGACACGGGUCAGGCAGCCGGAGCAGGGAGGGAAGAGGAGAGACGGAGGUGGCCGGCCGGCCCCGAGGCCCGCUCUCCCGCCCCCGCCCCGGAGGCGGC
RNAcentral lists this long non-coding RNA (2950 nucleotides) under Ornithorhynchus anatinus (platypus). Its description in RNAcentral is "lncRNA (ENSOANG00000040282.1)". Lineage: Eukaryota; Metazoa; Chordata; Mammalia; Monotremata; Ornithorhynchidae. The record is from RNAcentral.